This 161-nucleotide ribosomal RNA is filed under the name Hordeum euclaston. Its description in RNAcentral is "5.8S ribosomal RNA". It matches the Rfam family "5.8S ribosomal RNA". Rfam says of the family: 5.8S ribosomal RNA (5.8S rRNA) is a component of the large subunit of the eukaryotic ribosome. It is transcribed by RNA polymerase I as part of the 45S precursor that also contains 18S and 28S rRNA. RNAcentral also lists the same sequence under 1 other name. The record is from RNAcentral. Lineage: Eukaryota; Viridiplantae; Streptophyta; Magnoliopsida; Poales; Poaceae.
ACGACUCUCGGCAACGGAUAUCUCGGCUCUCGCAUCGAUGAAGAACGUAGCGAAAUGCGAUACCUGGUGUGAAUUACAGAAUCCCGCGAACCAUCGAGUCUUUGAACGCAAGUUGCGCCCGAGGCCACUCGGCCGAGGGCACGCCUGCCUGGGCGUCACGC